Molecule: unclassified non-coding RNA, 334 nt
Filed under: soil metagenome
Description: partial contains 5.8S ribosomal RNA, internal transcribed spacer 2, and large subunit ribosomal RNA
Rfam family: 5.8S ribosomal RNA (bases 1-120)
Source: RNAcentral
GAUGAAGAACGUAGCGAAAUGCGAUAAGUAGUGUGAAUUGCAGAAUUCAGUGAAUCAUCGAAUCUUUUAACGCACAUUGCGCCCCUUGGUAUUCCAUGGGGCAUGCCUGUUCGAGCGUCAUUUGUACCUUCAAGCUUUGCUUGGUGUUGGGUGUUUGUCCAUUCUCUUGCAGAGGGACUCGCCUUAAAGUAAUUGGCAGCCAGUGUUUUGGUUUUGAAGCGCAGCACAAGUCGCGAUUCAAAGCUAUACGCCCGCUUCCACAAGCCUUUUUCACUUUUGACCUCGGAUCAGGUAGGGAUACCCGCUGAACUUAAGCAUAUCAAUAAGCGGAGGA